Molecule: RNA transcript, 3559 nt
Organism: Durio zibethinus
Lineage: Eukaryota; Viridiplantae; Streptophyta; Magnoliopsida; Malvales; Malvaceae
Gene name: type IV inositol polyphosphate 5-phosphatase 3-like
Source: RefSeq, a predicted model, not a curated record
AACUCCCCCAUUAAGUAAACUAUAAAGAGUAGAGUAACUAAGGAAAUUAAUUAAAUAAAAAUUAUCAUCAUUUCUUGUGUUAUUGAAUCAUCAUGUGUAGCCACUAAUUCCUAAAUUAAAUUAAGAGUCAAAAUCAAAGCUUACCGUUAUUUUCCCAGCCAAAGGUUGUUGCGUUGUUUUCCUGCGACUGCUUCCAUCUUUUAUCAGUCUUUCCUUCCCUCUCUUUGGCUUCCAUUGUUUUCUUUAUUCUUCUUCUUUGCUCUCUCCAUUUCGUUACAUUUUUGUAUACACAGCCAUGAAGCAAGGCUCAAAGCCCCAAUCAGAGAGAAGUUGGGCUGAAAUCUGCUGUUUUGGUUGCUCCUGCCUACAGCUUUUUUGGCCUCGAGUUGUCAUGAGGAAAUUGCUCAACAUCACUCCCAGAGACUCCGAUUACAGCGCUGAUACCGAUGAUGAAGACGAUACUGGUUCUGAUUCUGAAACUGAAGAAUUUUUUGAAUGUGGCAGUGGCAGAGGAUCAAGGUUUAGAGGGAACAGAGAGGAGGAGCUUCAGCCUGAUCUAAAUGAUGCUCUUCCGAGGUUAAGGAGACGUAAGUCGGAGACUUGUAGGGCGCAAUAUAUAAACACAAAGGAAAUAAGAAUAUGUGCUGGUACUUGGAAUGUUGGUGGAAAGGUUCCGCCUGAUGAACUAGAUAUUGAUGACUGGAUAGAUAUCAAUGAGCCUGCUGACAUCUAUGUGCUUGGUCUUCAGGAGAUAGUACCAUUAAAUGCUGGGAAUAUUUUUGGUGCCGAAGAUAAUCGCCCAGUUCCAAAGUGGGAAAACAUCAUUCGUGAGACACUCAAUAGAAUUGGACCUGCAAUUACCAAAGUAAAAUGCUAUAGUGAUCCCCCAUCUCCAUCAAAGUUUAAGCCAUUUGAUGAUGUCCCAAAUUUAGAAGAGGAGAUCAUUCUUGAAAGUGAUAGUGAUAUUGGUGAUGAAAUUUAUCCAUUAGAUGAAGAACCUAAUGGUUUUGAUGAAGUCAAUAAUUCAGCAGGAAAUAAAAGAGUGUUCACCAAUUCUGAAGUUUCAGACUGUAAUGAUGGUGCUAAACUUGAUGUCCCAAUAGAACAGGAUUUACAGAUUCAAUUUUUUUCUCCAAAGAGGUUAGAUAGAUUGAAUUGCUUGCGGACAGAGGAUUGUGCUGAAAAUAUAGAAGCCUCGGUCAGUCAAAAAAAUGGAAAACUUACCAGAAUGCUUAGUGGGAUUGAACAAAAUGGAAAAUUAACCAGAAUGCUUAGUGGGACUGAAAGGAUUGGUUUGAGCUGGCCAGAGCCUCCAUUAAACUUGCUAUCUCAGCAUGUUUUGGGCAGACCAAGUUCUUUCAAAUCGACCAAAUCCUUUAGAGCGACCAAGUCUUUUCAAACAUAUAGUUCCUUCAAGUCCAUAAAUGACAUGGCAUCAGGGAUAGCUUUGCUUGCAGAACUUGACCUUGAAUCCCACAUGAAGCGAAAAAGAAGAUCGUCGUAUGUAAGAAUAGUAAGUAAGCAGAUGGUAGGAACUUUCCUUACUGUAUGGGUUCGUAGGAGUUUGCGCAGGCAUAUUCAUAAUUUGAAGGUGUCUACUGUUGGUGUUGGUGUAAUGGGCUACAUCGGUAACAAGGGAUCUAUAUCAGUCAGCAUGUCCAUAUAUCAAACACUUUUUUGUUUUAUAUGCACUCACCUGACAUCAGGUGAAAAAGAUGGAGAUGAACUUAAAAGAAAUGCUGAUGUGCAUGAAAUACUUAGACGAACUCAUUUUCAUUCUCUUUCUGCAAUUGGACUUCCCAAAUGCAUUCAUGAUCAUGAAAGAAUAAUUUGGUUGGGAGAUCUAAAUUACCGUAUCAACCUGUCCUAUAAUAAAGCACAUGAUCUCAUCUCCAAGAAAGAUUGGUCAAAGUUAAUUGAGAGAGACCAGCUUGUACGAGAGCUGCGUAAAGGUCAUACAUUUGAUGGAUGGUCCGAAGGUGCUUUAAAUUUUGCACCAACAUACAAAUAUGAGUUAAAUUCAGAGAAAUACUAUGGAGAAGAUCCCAAGGUUGGGAGGCGAACUCCAGCUUGGUGUGACCGCAUCCUUUCAUAUGGUAAAGGAAUGAGGCAACUAAGUUAUAGGAGGACUGAGCUUAAACUUUCUGACCAUCGCCCUGUUACUGCCAUAUAUAUGGCUGAGGUUGAGGUAUUUUGUCCACGGAAACUACAGCGUGCUCUCACCUAUACUGAUGCUGAAAUUGAAAACGAGGAAGUUGCUGCUGAGGCUAUUGAAUACUGAUGUCGAAACAAGUCCCCUGAUUUGGUUCAGGUGGGUGGUUUGCUAUGUUUUUCGUCCAGGAAUAUCAGUAGGAUCUUCUACAAGGUAUUAAUGGUCAUGAUGCUUAGGGAAAUAAAGUAAUGCUGGCUACAGAGAGUUAUUUGUUUAAUGAGGAUGUAGAGUAAGAGGGGGAAUAGUUGAAGUUGGCAAGAUCAUGAGAAUAGGGUAAGGAAACAAGAUUAAACAAGGUUACAAAGAAGCAGUCUACAUUGACUUCGUGAGAAUGGAUUGAUAUAUAUAGGUUGAAUAGUGGUUAAUAUUUCCAUUGAGAAUUUGAACCUUAUCAGGUUAUAGGGACAGAUUUUGCUGACAUAAUGUGAUACACUUUGGUUGCAAAACAUCUUGUGCUGUGCCUUGUAUCAAGGAUGAUACGUGGAAGGAUAGGGGGAGAUCAUCAAGGGAUAAUAUUCUAUGCCCGAUCCUUUGAGGCUGGGGUGAGAGAUACUACAACUCUUGGUAUUACCUAUACCUUAGAUUCAUUCAUUUUAUUUUUUUACUCUGUUACAAUAUUUUGUAUGUUGCAAUCAUUGUAUAAAUGCAUCAGCAGCGCUAGGGGGUUCACAAAUAGUUAUAGAACAACGCAGAUAAAAAUCACAGUUGAGUUUGCAUGUAUGGGUACAUCUUUGGCAUAAAGUUUAUCAAAUAUGCCCUUGUGCCAGCAGCCUUUUCUAGCUCAUAGAAAGCUGAAGGUUUGAAGAUAUAGUCAAUGCAUGUUUUUUGAUGGCGGAGUUGCUAUUUUUUGGUGUAUGCCUUUUGUCUUUCCAAAACUACAUUCUUCUGUAAUAUUUGCAGAAGCUAUGUACUGCUAUUUCUCUCUCUCUUUCUCUUUCUCUUUCUCUGCUUUUGAGUAUGUGUUUGUGUGUAUGUGAUUGCUGAUCACUUGAAUCCUGAGUUCUUUCACAUAAAGAGGGCCAAUUACAGAUAACAUGUAGACAUUUACCAUUCCCUAUAACUGGAUUUGGCUCAACUUCCUAUGUUUAGUGGUCUUCUAUAGCUCGAACGUAGAGCAAAAAUCUGCAAGUGAUGUUAAAGAAAAUAAGUAGGUUUCCAUUAAACCAAAACCAUAUGUAUGAACUCCAGGCAUAGUUCAACGAGAUAUAUGGUGUUCUUGGUUACUAGCCAUUAAAUGUUUCUUCAUUCUGUCUUCUCUAUCAUGCGAUGGCUACCAUUUUACUAAGCUUUAUAAGGUAAGAUCUAACAAUAAAAGUUAAGGAUUGAACAACUGCAGGUGGAGGUGAG